This is an RNA transcript of Dreissena polymorpha, 2521 nucleotides long. It is a transcript of the gene named putative nuclease HARBI1, with no coding region annotated. The record is from RefSeq and is a predicted model, not a curated record. Lineage: Eukaryota; Metazoa; Mollusca; Bivalvia; Myida; Dreissenidae. The transcript has 4 exons.
CACCAAAAAGUGAUUGACUCGAUCGUUUUAUUAAUUAUUUAUUAUCGCCUAUGAUAAACAAUUAAAUUAAAAAUAUAAUGCAUGCCGUUGCGACGAUCACUUUCUUCAGUUUCUUGUGAUCUUCUGGGGUAUUUUAAAAGAUCUUAUAGCCAUGUUUUUAACGCUGAAAUGGUUGUUUGUUUGUUUGUCAGAUAAACUGUUAGAAAUAUGACUGUUAAAUAUUCAUCCAUCUGUAUGCAAAUUUAUUCAUUGCCGUUUACUAAUUUCGAACGCAUCUAAACUGUCGCAGCCUCCAGCUAAACGCAGACGCGUUGAGCUUACGUUAGAGGAUAAGAUAAAGCUCAUCACGGAAUCAACUGCUCAACUUUGGGAUUAAUCAAAACAAGUCGGUAUGGAUUUUUUUUGCUUUUAAUCGAUUAAAAACACAUUUUUUAAGAAUGCAAUUAACAUCAUCAGUACCUGCGUACAGUUAUCACAUGGUACAUGUAAAUGUAUAUGGUUUGUUUUAUUUUUAUGUGAUUCUGUACACAAUGCAUACCAUGUAUAUUUCGGCAAUAUGAAAACUCUUGGUAAACCGGAACUCUCUGAAAACCGGACGAUCAGGUCUGUCCCGAGACCGUCCGGUUUACAGAGAGUCUGUAUAUUGUGUUUGGCCUGUCUGUCACUGUUUGUGUCUGUCACAAAAUUUUUGGGUGGUGAAAGGUCUGUGUUAUCCUUCAAGGUCAAAGAUAUGGCUUCAAAGCGGGCAGUCGGGGGCAUUGUGUUUCACAAACACGGCUCUUGUUAGUAAUAUCAUAGCAAUUCAAGUCAGUGCAUUCUCAUCGGAUCAUUUAAAUUAUUUAGAAUUGAAAAUGAUCAAGCCUCAUUAAAACCUUAACCUAAGCUUAUACAAAAAAAUGUAAUAGACUUUCAUUUAAGAGCUACAACCUGUAGCUACAACAUGAUGAUCUUAAAUUGUAAUAAAACUAUUUUAAUUAUGCUCACUUAAUUAUUUUUAUUUUCAAUUUUAUACUCAGUUGAAUAAAAAUAUAUUUAUAUUUUUAGAUUUCCACAAGGACCAGCUGUUCUGCUUGUCAAGCAGGAAUUUUUUAGGAAAUGUCAGCUGCCAAAUGUAGUUGGAGCAGUCGACGGGACCCUUGUUCCCAUUAUCAAACCUGCUGAGUCUGAAGAGGCCUAUGUGUGCAGGAAGGGGUUCCAUGCCAUUAAUGUGCAGGCUGUCGUUGACGCUAACAUGAGGUGCACAGAUGUCGUGUCAAGAUGGCCUGGUACGACACAUGAUGCUGCGGUGUUUGAUAGCAGUAGCGUAAAGUUUACAGGAAUAUCUGAGCACCAAUGAUGUGGGUCAUCUGCUAGGGGAUAGCGGAUAUCCAUUAAGGACUUACCUCAUGACCCCUGUACCUCAUCCCUCCAAUGAUGGUGAGCAAGCCUACACCGACCAUUUAUGUAGAGGACGGAUAGUCGUAGAAAGACCAUUUGGUGUUUUGAAAUCACGAUUUAGAUGUCUGCAUCGCACUGGUGGAUGCUUGCCUUUCCAGCCUAAUAAGUGUUGUGAAAUUGCAACAGUUUGCAUGCGCCUGCACAACCUGUGUUUGGAAUAAAACGUCCCACUGAUAGACGAAGAAGUUGGGAACGAGAUUGAUCAGGAGGUUCUAAACAAUGCACCAGUGCAGGGAGCAGCAGUCAACAAGAGGCAGCAGCUGAUUGAACUGUUUCGUUAAAUGUUAGUUCUUUUAUGCCCCCCUUCAAAGAAGAGGGGAUAUAUUGUUUUGCACAUGUCGGUCCGUCCGUCCACUUAUCCAGUAAAUGGUUUCCGGAUGAUAACUCAAGAACGCUUAGGCCUAGGAUCAUGAAACUUCAUAGAAUAAUUGAUCAUAACAGGCAGAUGACCCCUAUUGAUUUUCAGGUCACUAGGUCAAAGGUCAAGGUUACAGUGACUCAAAACAGUAAAAUGGUUUCCGGAUUAUAACUCAAGAGCGCUUAGGUCUAGAAUCAUGAAACUUCAUAGGUACAUUGAUCAUGACUGACAGAUGACCCCUAUUUAUUUUCAGGUCACUAGGUCAAAGGUCAAGGUUACAGUGACAAAAAACGGAUUUACACAAUGGCUGCCACUAUAACUGACAGCCCAUUUGGGGGGCAUGCGUGUUUUACAAACAACUCUUGUUAUAUAGAGGAUAUUUGUUGGAUUCGGUGGAUUAUCGAUUUUAAUUCACGAGUGAUCAUAGAAAAUAAUAUUUUCACGAGUGGCGCAGCAAAUUUUCUUUUUAUUUUAUGCCUUUUUUUCACAGUUUAUAUACAUUUUUUAAGAGUUUAACUAAAAAAAAUCGCUGGGAUAAUGACGUCAUUUCGUCAAAAAAAUGACGUCUUUUCACAUUAAACAGUGAAAAUUAUCGAUAAUUUUCACUGAUAAUUUUCACUGUUUGAAACAGUGAAAUUAUCAGUUUUAAUUCACUGAUAUUUUUCUAUAAACCACCGGAAAGCAUUAAAUAAUAUUUAUUUAUUACAUUGUAUUAUUAUUUAUUUA